AUCCAGAUGAUGAGUCCCAAAUAGAACGAAACGGGUGUCCUGGAU
RNAcentral lists this non-coding RNA (45 nucleotides) under Schistosoma mattheei. Lineage: Eukaryota; Metazoa; Platyhelminthes; Trematoda; Strigeidida; Schistosomatidae. The record is from RNAcentral.